RNAcentral lists this ribosomal RNA (274 nucleotides) under uncultured bacterium. Its description in RNAcentral is "partial 16S ribosomal RNA". It matches the Rfam family "Bacterial small subunit ribosomal RNA", at positions 523 to 796 of the family's 1533-position model. The record is from RNAcentral.
AUACGGAGGGUGCAAGCGUUACUCGGAAUCACUGGGCGUAAAGCGCGCGCAGGCGGGCUGAUAAGUUGGAUGUGAAAGCCUACGGCUCAACCGUAGAACUGCAUCCAAAACUGUCAGGCUAGAGUGUGGGAGAGGAAGAUGGAAUUAGUUGUGUAGGGGUAAAAUCCGUAGAGAUAACUAGGAAUACCAAAAGCGAAGGCAAUCUUCUGGAACACUACUGACGCUGAGGCGCGAAGGCGUGGGGAGCAAACAGGAUUAGAAACCCCAGUAGUCC